GGGUUGUGAGGUUAAGCGACUAAGCGUACACGGUGGAUGCCCUGGCAGUCAGAGGCGAUGAAGGACGUGCUAAUCUGCGAAAAGCGUCGGUAAGGUGAUAUGAACCGUUAUAACCGGCGAUGUCCGAAUGGGGAAACCCAGUGCAAUUCGUUGCACUAUCGUUAACUGAAUACAUAGGUUAACGAGGCGAACCGGGGGAACUGAAACAUCUAAGUACCCCGAGGAAAAGAAAUCAACCGAGAUUCCCCCAGUAGCGGCGAGCGAACGGGGAGCAGCCCGGAGUCUGAAUCAGCUUGUGUGUUAGUGGAAGCGUCUGGAAAGUCGCAGGGUACAGGGUGAUACUCCCGUACACUAAAACACACAGGUUGUGAACUCGAAGAGUAGGGCGGGACACGUGGUAUCCUGUCUGAAUAUGGGGGGACCAUCCUCCAAGGCUAAAUACUCCUGACUGACCGAUAGUGAACCAGUACCGUGAGGGAAAGGCGAAAAGAACCCCGGCGAGGGGAGUGAAAAAGAACCUGAAACCGUGUACGUACAAGCAGUAGGAGCCCACUAGUUGGGUGACUGCGUACCUUUUGUAUAAUGGGUCAGCGACUUAUAUUCUGUAGCAAGGUUAACCGUAUAGGGGAGCCGCAGGGAAACCGAGUCUUAACUGGGCGUUAAGUUGCAGGGUAUAGACCCGAAACCCGGUGAUCUAGCCAUGGGCAGGUUGAAGGUUGGGUAACACUAACUGGAGGACCGAACCGACUAAUGUUGAAAAAUUAGCGGAUGACUUGUGGCUGGGGGUGAAAGGCCAAUCAAACCGGGAGAUAGCUGGUUCUCCCCGAAAGCUAUUUAGGUAGCGCCUCGUGAACUCAUCUUCGGGGGUAGAGCACUGUUUCGGCUAGGGGGUCAUCCCGACUUACCAACCCGAUGCAAACUACGAAUACCGAAGAAUGUUAUCACGGGAGACACACGGCGGGUGCUAACGUCCGUCGUGAAGAGGGAAACAACCCAGACCGCCAGCUAAGGUCCCAAAGUCAUGGUUAAGUGGGAAACGAUGUGGGAAGGCCCAGACAGCCAGGAUGUUGGCUUAGAAGCAGCCAUCAUUUAAAGAAAGCGUAAUAGCUCACUGGUCGAGUCGGCCUGCGCGGAAGAUGUAACGGGGCUAAACCAUGCACCGAAGCUGCGGCAGCGACACUAUGUGUUGUUGGGUAGGGGAGCGUUCUGUAAGCCGUUGAAGGUGGCCUGUGAGGGUUGCUGGAGGUAUCAGAAGUGCGAAUGCUGACAUAAGUAACGAUAAUGCGGGUGAAAAACCCGCACGCCGGAAGACCAAGGGUUCCUGUCCAACGUUAAUCGGGGCAGGGUGAGUCGACCCCUAAGGCGAGGCCGAAAGGCGUAGUCGAUGGGAAACAGGUUAAUAUUCCUGUACUUGGUGUUACUGCGAAGGGGGGACGGAGAAGGCUAUGUUGGCCGGGCGACGGUUGUCCCGGUUUAAGCAUGUAGGCGGAUGUUCCAGGUAAAUCCGGAACGUCACUAACGCUGAGGUGUGAUGACGAGGCACUACGGUGCUGAAGUGACAAAUGCCCUGCUUCCAGGAAAAGCCUCUAAGCAUCAGGUAACAUCAAAUCGUACCCCAAACCGACACAGGUGGUCAGGUAGAGAAUACCAAGGCGCUUGAGAGAACUCGGGUGAAGGAACUAGGCAAAAUGGUGCCGUAACUUCGGGAGAAGGCACGCUGAUGGUAAGUGAAGUGACUUGCUCAUGGAGCUGAAAUCAGUCGAAGAUACCAGCUGGCUGCAACUGUUUAUUAAAAACACAGCACUGUGCAAACACGAAAGUGGACGUAUACGGUGUGACGCCUGCCCGGUGCCGGAAGGUUAAUUGAUGGGGUUAUCCUCGCGGAGAAGCUCUUGAUCGAAGCCCCGGUAAACGGCGGCCGUAACUAUAACGGUCCUAAGGUAGCGAAAUUCCUUGUCGGGUAAGUUCCGACCUGCACGAAUGGCGUAAUGAUGGCCAGGCUGUCUCCACCCGAGACUCAGUGAAAUUGAACUCGCUGUGAAGAUGCAGUGUACCCGCGGCAAGACGGAAAGACCCCGUGAACCUUUACUAUAGCUUGACACUGAACACUGGUCCUUGAUGUGUAGGAUAGGUGGGAGGCUUUGAAGUGUGGACGCCAGUCUGCAUGGAGCCGUCCUUGAAAUACCACCCUUUAAUGGCUGGUGUUCUAACGUGGGCCCCUAAUCGGGGUUGCGGACAGUGUCUGGUGGGUAGUUUGACUGGGGCGGUCUCCUCCUAAAGAGUAACGGAGGAGCACGAAGGUCAGCUAAUCCUGGUCGGACAUCAGGAGGUUAGUGCAAUGGCAUAAGCUGGCUUGACUGCGAGCGUGACGGCGCGAGCAGGUGCGAAAGCAGGUCAUAGUGAUCCGGUGGUUCUGAAUGGAAGGGCCAUCGCUCAACGGAUAAAAGGUACUCCGGGGAUAACAGGCUGAUACCGCCCAAGAGUUCAUAUCGACGGCGGUGUUUGGCACCUCGAUGUCGGCUCAUCACAUCCUGGGGCUGAAGUAGGUCCCAAGGGUAUGGCUGUUCGCCAUUUAAAGUGGUACGCGAGCUGGGUUUAGAACGUCGUGAGACAGUUCGGUCCCUAUCUGCCGUGGGCGCUGGAGAAUUGAGGGGGGCUGCUCCUAGUACGAGAGGACCGGAGUGGACGCAUCACUGGUGUUCGGGUUGUCAUGCCAAUGGCAUUGCCCGGUAGCUAAAUGCGGAAGAGAUAAGUGCUGAAAGCAUCUAAGCACGAAACUUGCCCCGAGAUGAGUUCUCCCUGACCCUUUAAGGGUCCUGAAGGAACGUUGAAGACGACGACGUUGAUAGGCCGGGUGUGUAAGCGCAGCGAUGCGUUGAGCUAACCGGUACUAAUGAACCGUGAGGCUUAACCUUACAACGCCGAAG
RNAcentral lists this ribosomal RNA (2927 nucleotides) under Klebsiella oxytoca. Its description in RNAcentral is "23S ribosomal RNA". It matches the Rfam family "Bacterial large subunit ribosomal RNA". The record is from RNAcentral. Lineage: Bacteria; Pseudomonadati; Pseudomonadota; Gammaproteobacteria; Enterobacterales; Enterobacteriaceae.